RNAcentral lists this ribosomal RNA (468 nucleotides) under uncultured bacterium. RNAcentral's name for it is "partial 16S ribosomal RNA". It matches the Rfam family "Bacterial small subunit ribosomal RNA", at positions 28 to 507 of the family's 1533-position model. The record is from RNAcentral.
GACGAACGCUGGCGGCGUGCUUAACACAUGCAAGUCGAACGGAAAGGCUCUGCUUUUGUGGGGUGCUCGAGUGGCGAACGGGUGAGUAACACGUGAGUAACCUGCCCUUGACUUUGGGAUAACUUCAGGAAACUGGGGCUAAUACCGGAUAGGAGCUCCUGCUGCAUGGUGGGGGUUGGAAAGUUUCGGCGGUUGGGGAUGGACUCGCGGCUUAUCAGCUUGUUGGUGGGGUAGUGGCUUACCAAGGCUUUGACGGGUAGCCGGCCUGAGAGGGUGACCGGCCACAUUGGGACUGAGAUACGGCCCAGACUCCUACGGGAGGCAGCAGUGGGGAAUAUUGCACAAUGGGCGGAAGCCUGAUGCAGCAACGCCGCGUACGGGAUGACGGCCUUCGGGUUGUAAACCGCUUUCGCCUGUGACGAAGCGUGAGUGACGGUAAUGGGUAAAGAAGCACCGGCUAACUACGUG